UGAAACAGGCUGCUAAGGAGUAGUAAAAAGUUUUUCUUUUCAGAGAGUACAUGGUAGGUGUAAAUGUAUAAGGAGGCUUUUGAACUUGCCUUAAAAUGUAGUUUUAAAAGCACAUACGGCGACGGCCGUUAAAACGUUUGAGGCUGAAUAAUUUUCAGUAAAAAUAGGUGGUACCACGUUUAACGCGUCCUAUAA
Molecule: non-coding RNA, 195 nt
Filed under: Tetragenococcus muriaticus
Lineage: Bacteria; Bacillati; Bacillota; Bacilli; Lactobacillales; Enterococcaceae
Description: T-box sequence
Rfam family: T-box leader
About the family: Uncharged tRNA acts as the effector for transcription antitermination of genes in the T-box leader family. T-boxes are found upstream of many aminoacyl-tRNA synthetase genes and some amino acid biosynthetic genes usually in Gram-positive bacteria.
Source: RNAcentral